ACGAACGCUGGCGGCAUGCCUAACACAUGCACGUCGAACGAGACCUUCGGGUCUAGUGGCGCACGGGUGCGUAACGCGUGGGAACCUGCCCUUAGGUUCGGAAUAACUCCCCGAAAGGGGUGCUAAUACCGGAUAAUGUCUUCGGACCAAAGAUUUAUCGCCUUUGGAUGGGCCCGCGUUGGAUUAGCUAGUUGGUAGGGUAAAAGCCUACCAAGGCGACGAUCCAUAGCUGGUCUGAGAGGAUGAUCAGCCACACUGGGACUGAGACACGGCCCAGACUCCUACGGGAGGCAGCAGUGGGGAAUAUUGGACAAUGGGCGAAAGCCUGAUCCAGCAAUGCCGCGUGAGUGAUGAAGGCCUUAGGGUUGUAAAGCUCUUUUACCCGGGAUGAUAAUGACAGUACCGGGAGAAUAAGCUCCGGCUAACUCCGU
RNAcentral lists this ribosomal RNA (431 nucleotides) under uncultured bacterium. RNAcentral describes it as "partial 16S ribosomal RNA". It matches the Rfam family "Bacterial small subunit ribosomal RNA", at positions 29 to 506 of the family's 1533-position model. The record is from RNAcentral.